Molecule: ribosomal RNA, 253 nt
Filed under: uncultured bacterium
Lineage: Bacteria
Description: partial 16S ribosomal RNA
Rfam family: Bacterial small subunit ribosomal RNA
Source: RNAcentral
UACAGAGGGUGCAAGCGUUAUUCGGAUUUACUGGGCGUAAAGAGCGUGUAGGUGGCUCGAUAAGUCUGAUGUGAAAGCCCUGGGCUCAACCCAGGAAGUGCAUUGGAUACUGUCAAGCUAGAGGACAGGAGGGGAGAGCGGAAUUCCAGGUGUAGAGGUGAAAUUCGUAGAUAUCUGGAGGAACAACGGUGGCGAAGGCGGCUCUCUGGACUGUAACUGACACUAAGGCGCGAAAGCGUGGGGAGCAAACAGG